AACGAACGCUGGCGGCAGGCUUAACACAUGCAAGUCGAACGCUCGUGGCAACACGGGAGUGGCAGACGGGUGAGUAACGCGUGGGAACCUACCUCAUGGUGCGGAAUAACUCAGGGAAACUUGAGCUAAUACCGCAUGUGCCCUUCGGGGGAAAGAUUUAUCGCCAUGGGAUGGGCCCGCGUCGGAUUAGCUAGUUGGUGGGGUAACGGCCUACCAAGGCGACGAUCCGUGGCUGGUCUGAGAGGAUGAUCAGCCACACUGGGACUGAGACACGGCCCAGACUCCUACGGGAGGCAGCAGUGGGGAAUAUUGGACAGUGGGCGCAAGCCUGAUCCAGCCAUGCCGCGUGAGUGAUGAAGGCCUUAGGGUUGUAAAGCUCUUUCGCCGGUGAAGAUAAUGACGGUAACCGGAGAAGAAGCCCCGGCUAACUUCGUGCCAGCCGCCGCGGUAA
RNAcentral lists this ribosomal RNA (451 nucleotides) under uncultured bacterium. RNAcentral describes it as "partial 16S ribosomal RNA". It matches the Rfam family "Bacterial small subunit ribosomal RNA", at positions 29 to 523 of the family's 1533-position model. The record is from RNAcentral.